RNAcentral lists this ribosomal RNA (725 nucleotides) under uncultured beta proteobacterium. RNAcentral describes it as "bacterial SSU rRNA". It matches the Rfam family "Bacterial small subunit ribosomal RNA", at positions 62 to 770 of the family's 1533-position model. Lineage: Bacteria; Pseudomonadati; Pseudomonadota; Betaproteobacteria. The record is from RNAcentral.
UCGAACGGUAACGUGGGGAGGAGCUUGCUCCGCCCCGACGACGAGUGGCGAACGGGUGAGUAAUACAUCGGAACGUGUCCGCUCGUGGGGGACAACCAGCCGAAAGGUUGGCUAAUACCGCAUGAGUUCUACGGAAGAAAGAGGGGGACCCGCAAGGGCCUCUCGCGAGCGGAGCGGCCGAUGACUGAUUAGCCAGUUGGUGAGGUAACGGCUCACCAAAGCAACGAUCAGUAGCUGGUCUGAGAGGACGACCAGCCACACUGGGACUGAGACACGGCCCAGACUCCUACGGGAGGCAGCAGUGGGGAAUUUUGGACAAUGGGCGCAAGCCUGAUCCAGCUAUUCCGCGUGUGGGAUGAAGGCCCUCGGGUUGUAAACCACUUUUGUAGAGAACGAAAAGACACCAUCGAAUAAAUGGUGUUGCUGACGGUACUCUAAGAAUAAGCACCGGCUAACUACGUGCCAGCAGCCGCGGUAAUACGUAGGGUGCGAGCGUUAAUCGGAAUUACUGGGCGUAAAGGGUGCGCAGGCGGUUGAGUAAGACAGAUGUGAAAUCCCCGAGCUUAACUCGGGAAUGGCAUAUGUGACUGCUCGACUAGAGUGUGUCAGAGGGAGGUGGAAUUCCACGUGUAGCAGUGAAAUGCGUAGAUAUGUGGAAGAACACCGAUGGCGAAGGCAGCCUCCUGGGACAUAACUGACGCUCAGGCACGAAAGCGUGGGGAGCA